Molecule: non-coding RNA, 185 nt
Organism: Streptomyces sp. 769
Lineage: Bacteria; Bacillati; Actinomycetota; Actinomycetes; Kitasatosporales; Streptomycetaceae
Source: Rfam
GGGCCGCCCCCGCCGAGUCCGGUCCUGCCGUCAGGCACCCGGAGCCGGGGACCCACAAGCACCACUGGGGUGAAUCGACCGGUGCGGCCGUCGCCAGGCGGACGCAGCGGUCGUAGGGCAAGCCUUCCGUCAGCACACCGCCCGAACCCGACAGCUAACCCGGUAGGCGGUCCACGGAAGGAGUC